GUUAAUUCUUAUCACCAAUCGCCUGGUGAGAAAGUUAAAAGUUUAAGAUUUAACAUAACCAAGGUGUGAAUUGGAUUUCAAUUUUGCUGGUUUACAUCAAACAUCAAAUUUAUGCAAAUAUUUAUUCAGCCUCAUUUUAGAUUCAGAGUCAACUGGCACUGAAUCGAUCACAUGGUAUUUGUUCCCCACCUGGCCCUUACGACGCGCAGCUAGAUUGGGCCGGAUGCCAGGCUA
This 234-nucleotide long non-coding RNA is filed under the name Mytilus galloprovincialis (Mediterranean mussel). The record is from RNAcentral. Lineage: Eukaryota; Metazoa; Mollusca; Bivalvia; Mytilida; Mytilidae.